GCAAACUUGGUCAUUUAGAGGAAGUAAAAGUCGUAACAAGGUUUCCGUAGGUGAACCUGCGGAAGGAUCAUUACCAGGGUUCUUUCCAAACCCCAACUCAUCCACCCGUGUGCACCAAAUCGAAAGGGAAAAAAAGGUCCCCGGCGGGAUUUUUUUUUUUUCUUUCGCUUUCAAUUAUCGACUGAACGUUUGUCUGAAAUCUUUUUUGUAAAAAAAAAACCCUAAUACAACUUUCAACAACGGAUCUCUUGGCUCUCGCAUCGAUGAAGAACGCAGC
This 277-nucleotide unclassified non-coding RNA is filed under the name uncultured fungus. RNAcentral's name for it is "partial contains small subunit ribosomal RNA, internal transcribed spacer 1, and 5.8S ribosomal RNA". The stretch from base 1 to 73 matches the Rfam family "Eukaryotic small subunit ribosomal RNA", at positions 1759 to 1831 of the family's 1831-position model. The record is from RNAcentral. Lineage: Eukaryota; Fungi.